CCUACGGGCGGCAGCAGUAGGGAAUCUUUCACAAUGGGCGAAAGCCUGAUGGAGCAACGCCGCGUGCAGGAUGAAGGCCUUCGGGUUGUAAACUGCUUUUAUAAGCGAGAAAUAUGAUGGUAACUUAUGAAUAAGGAUCGGCUAACUACGUGCCAGCAGCCGCGGUAAUACGUAGGGGGCAAGCGUUAUCCGGAAUUACUGGGUGUAAAGGGAGAGUAGGUGGCAAGGUAAGCGAUAUGUGAAAGCCUUAAGCUUAACUUAAGGAUUGCAUAACGAACUAUCUAGCUAGAGUACAGGAGAGGAAAGCGGAAUUCCUAGUGUAGCGGUGAAAUGCGUAGAUAUUAGGAAGAAAACCAGUGGCGAAGGCGGCUUUCUGGACUGAAACUGACGCUGAGGCUCGAAAGCGUGGGGAGCGAACAGGAUUAGAUACCCUGGUAGUC
Molecule: ribosomal RNA, 440 nt
Filed under: uncultured bacterium
Lineage: Bacteria
Description: partial 16S ribosomal RNA
Rfam family: Bacterial small subunit ribosomal RNA
Source: RNAcentral